UUUUUUUUUUUUCGGCCUCUCUUUUUUUCUCUCUCUGCACAUGGAUGAACAGUGAGAUUCUGAAUACUCCCUUGCUGAACCAAGCGAUGGCAGGUCCUGCUGGACCCACCUGGGGAAGGGAGACAGCUGUGCGACAGCUUUCAGAGCUCAAGGGUCACACCUAAAUCCCCGAUUUCCCCACUGCCAGCAGCCCCAGUUGGAGGGUGGAGGUGAAGGUUGAAAGGAGGGUGGCUGAGUUGACAGUUUCUUUGCUAGCUCCUCUACAAUCAGUGCUUCAGGUGUUUUCAAAAUGCCACUGUUAACAGAAGGAGGGCCUUUUAGAAUUUUCCAGAUGGUAGAUGUGAUUUUCUUUUAACCUGAUGGUUUUCCUCCUCUGCCUUGUAAAUGAAUAAGAUGUUGCCCCAAGAACAGUGAGGUAUGUUGAAAAGCCAAAGAACAUUUGUGAAUGAUUUUAAAUGAACAUGUCCACCGCCUCUGGGGGAGGAGGGGGUUGGUCCUUUUUACAAAUGCUGCACCGUGGUGAGUGCAUACAUACGUACUGUGCUUACAGUCUUACAGUUCUAGCAGUCUUUCGGGGGAUACCGCCAAUGGCCCUGAAGUUGCGUUUACUUAAAGUCGCUAAAUGUACAAGAAAUAACCACUUGUCAAAAUGGCGUCAAAAGAUCAAGCAAGAAGCUUUUGCACAAGUGCUGGGCAAGGUCUUUUCCUAGCAUAUGGAAAGAGUUCUAUAAGCUCCAUAGCAGAUUUCCCGAAUAUACAUUGAGGGAGGGGAGAAGUAGGAGAAAUACAAGAAAGAAGAGCCCCCAUUCUCAGUGGGUGAGCUGCAGAAGGAACAGCAUGGUUUAUCAUAUUACUGGAAGGCCUCCAGGGUAGAUAUCAGGCAAGUUACCCCACCAACAAAUACAUAAGACACACAAGAAUGGCUUUAAAUAAAUAAGUAGAAUUGAAUCCUAAAUCAUACUUUUGCAUUCAGGAGCAACAGAUGUCAAUCAAACGUGGGUGACAUUUGCUUGUCAAUACGAGGAUGAUGGCUGGGAAGACGGUGACUUAUUACAUCAGGGUGAGAAUCUGAAAUGAGAAAAGCAGGAACAAAUAAGACUACAGCAAGCAAACAGUAACAUCCUGGGUGACGAUCAGCAGCCUGUGAUCUUGUCUGCGGGUGUCACAGCAUGGACUUCUCCUUUCCUCCCUGUGCCUCAAUCUCCCCGCCCCCCAGCCUACUCCAGUCCACCCCACCAAUUUAGUUCUUUCUUUCUUUCUUUCUUCUCUGUUUCAAAACAAAAUAAGGUCAAACGAGCAGACAGAAGGAAACAAAGACUGAAUGAUUCUUUUAAGAGAAAUGUCAGUAGCUCCUUCAGGCCUUGGCUGGGAGAAUCAACCCUAAAAGCUGUGCUGUGUGGCUCAGCGGGGUGGGGGUCUCCACCUCCUGGCUACUGAGAGAGCCACACUGCUCCUGGUAUUGGAAAAUAGGGCUUCCCACUUCUCAAGCCCUUAACUUUUAUUUUAGGGUAGUGGUUUUAUAAAUGCGCGCCUAUUGCUUGGGCAUAAUUAUACACAUAGUUCCAUAAUAUUUUUGUUCACAUGAGCUGCCUUAUUUUCAUAUUUUUAAGGAGCAAACACAUAAUAAGUUGUCUCCUGGCCAUAAUACUUACUUUCCUAACACACCUUCUGGAUUGCUUCUUAAAAGUCACCUUCCUUUUGGAGGACAAAAUGGUGAGGUUUGCUGCCAGCACUGGGGGGGUAGGAUAUUAAUAAAACUCUGAUGCACCAGAUUAUCAAAUUUCAUAAGGCCUCUCUAUUGCUAUGAAGAGUUCUGUAGGUGACACAAAAGGAGUUUUUAAAAGGUAGAGAUGUAUAGAGAAGUUCUCAUCAAAACCUCAAGCUAUGUGGAGUUUUCCCAUUGACUAACGCUUAAGAUAUAUUGGAGUCAAAUGCUCAUAAAAUGCUCAUCAAUGCUUAUAAAAUAUUAAGAGUUGAAAUGGACUCUCUGUUCAUGCAGAUGAUGAGACCGAAACAGAGAGCUUCCAGGAGGAUCAAUGCCAUUCAAUGAGCUUGCUGCUGUACUCCCCUCUACACAAUAUGGAUAUAUCCCAUCCCAGCCCGAGACUGGCCAUACUAGUUCUAGUAACUGAGGCUUUCCUCCUACUUUCUCUGACGCCAAAGCAAAUUUGAUUUUGCAAGUGAGUGCCCUCACAUUUUAAAGCUCUGCUGAGAUUUAGAAAGGCACUCAGCAGUCAUCAUUCAUCAUGAAGUCACUCCCUCCCAGGCCACGUGGCUGACCCCAGACUUUCUAUUAACUGCACAAGCCUGGGCAACACAUGGAUAUUUGGCUCUGUAGUGAAGCAAAUUUAAAUUCUUGGUCUCCUUCCUCUCCUCCAGAAGUAUCUCACUGUGCACUUUGGGGGAACCUUUUGGUUCCCCCACAAUUUUCAAGGAUGACUUGGUAGUAAACGAACUUAUGGCUGGUUACUGAGACUUUCUACUGCUUGAAUUUCCCAGAAGGUUCUCUGCAAAGUUACUCACGCUUCAGCUCUUGUUCUGACAGUUUGGAUAAACCAUCUGAUAUGGCAUAUUACUCAUCAUCUUCAUAUAUAUAAUAAUAGAAAACGUGUCAAUUAAAAAAAUAUUUGAUUUUCUUCAGUCCUCAUUAGAGAACCAAGUUUUCUCUCAUAUUCGAUAAGAAUCUUGGAAGUGGGCCCUGGACUCUCAUUUCUGCAGCAUCUCCCAACCAUCUCUCAAGAAAACACCAGGCUCCCUACUCCCAUUGCACCUGUACCUGGACCUUGUGGACCCUCCAGAAGAUGAAGUCCAAUCCAGAAAGCCGUGAUCAUGCCACUUCUAAGAUGCUAAUGAUCCUGGGAGUUUUAGCCUUUUGUUGCCUGCUGCUGCGGUGUUUGAACCAUUCCAGUAAGCCAGCAACUUUGCAGGGACAAGGACAGAGCAUGCAAAGCAUGGAGGGAAAGUAGGAGUGUUUGUACCAUGAGUCUCUGCACACCCCUCAUCUUGGCUAUAGUAGACUGGACCACAGAUGGACACUGUACCAUGCAGAUUACUUCUUCCAGGAACUUGGAUUGAGACCAAGAGACUCAUGGCAUCCUCUUCUGGCUGCAAGACUUAUAUUUUUAUAUUUAGGCAAUAGAAGAGGGGCAGCAGAUGCCUACCUUGUGGAACAGAGGAAGGCAGGCAGUUCACAGAGAAAGAGGACUAGACAGUCGGACAGAGGGGAGCAGGCUUGGGAGCUUCGUGGAGCCAAUGUCCAUCUCUGUCCUUCCUUUCCACUCGAUGCUCCUGAGUCCCUGCCUUCAACCCCCGCUUGUUUGCUUAAACUGGUUUGAGUUUGUUUCUGCUGUUUGAAAAACAACAACAACAAAACCCCAAACAAAACAAACAUCAAACAAAAACCAAAACAAAACCAUUAACUCACUCAUCCCUGUGAUUGUAUUUUGAGAAAUAAAGGUGAUUUCCUUCAGAAAACAAAGCGUAAAAACCCUGCCCUCCUCCUCUACCUCUCCGAUCGCCUAUUAAAGCCCAUUUGCUCCACGGUAAUGUAGAAGCUGUUCCCACACAUCAGCUCAUGUACAGUGUUGGACAGCAUUUCUCUGCAAUUCUUUCCAAAUCAAAGAUAGUACACCUGUGCUCCCAAAUCUACCAGGAACACUCAAU
This 3663-nucleotide long non-coding RNA is filed under the name Homo sapiens (human). RNAcentral describes it as "HSALNT0356630". The record is from RNAcentral. Lineage: Eukaryota; Metazoa; Chordata; Mammalia; Primates; Hominidae.